RNAcentral lists this ribosomal RNA (253 nucleotides) under uncultured bacterium. RNAcentral's name for it is "partial 16S ribosomal RNA". It matches the Rfam family "Bacterial small subunit ribosomal RNA", at positions 524 to 776 of the family's 1533-position model. The record is from RNAcentral.
GACGGAGGGUGCUAGCGUUGUUCGGAAUCACUGGGCGUAAAGGGCGCGUAGGCGGCCUGGCGAGUCGGCUGUGAAAGCCCGGGGCUCAACCCCGGAGGUGCAGCCGAGACGGCCAGGCUGGAGGCCGGAAGAGGAGGGUGGAAUACCCAGUGUAGAGGUGAAAUUCGUAGAUAUUGGGUGGAACACCGGUGGCGAAAGCGGCUCUCUGGUCCGGUACUGACGCUGAGGUGCGAAAGCGUGGGGAGCAAACAGG